RNAcentral lists this ribosomal RNA (771 nucleotides) under Triticum aestivum (bread wheat). RNAcentral describes it as "partial small subunit ribosomal RNA". Lineage: Eukaryota; Viridiplantae; Streptophyta; Magnoliopsida; Poales; Poaceae. The record is from RNAcentral.
AUGGUGCUCCACUGUGACAUCAAGGCAAGCAACGUGAUGCUGGACUCGAGUUUCCGUGGCCGACUCGGGGACUUCGGCUUGGCCUGCAUUGUCGAUGUCAACAGGAACUCUGCCACCGGCAUUGGUGGGACACGGGGAUACAUGGCGCUGGAGUAUGCUCUGAGUGGCAAGGCAACGCGGCAGACAGACAUCUUCGCGCUCGGGGUGCUCAUCCUCGAGGUUGUCACGGGCCAGCGGGCGCUGAUUCACCGGGCCUCGGAUGACGACGACGUCCAUAUCACAGAUCGAGUGUGGCGCCUCCACCGUGAGGGGAGGCUAACGGAGUGCGUGGAUCCCGUCGUGCUCGCUGCUUUUUCCGAGGACGACGAGCAGCUGGCCCUGGACGUCUGCGAUGAUUUGCGACGCCUGCUGCUCCUUGGCUUGGCGUGUAGCAACCCCAACCCGUUGGAUCGCCCGAAUAUGCCCGAGGUGGUGCGGAUCAUCGCCAAGUCGGCGCCACCGCCGGAGGUGCCUCUAAUGAAGCCAAGGUUCGUGUGGCCGCCGCCAGAAGGGGAGGACUCGGAUGGUGACGAUAGUGCAGGCCCAUCGAGGAUGAGUAAUCUUGACGGGAGUGCGGCGAGCACAAGCGAGCUGCAAUGGCACACUCAGAUUAGCUUGGAGACGACCACGGCGCAGGCCUCCGGCGGACAUGCCUCGUUUCAACUGGAGCACUCUGUUUAUGUCAGCGCACCCGGUGGUCUUGCCUCCGAGAUAAUUCUGAGCGGGAUGUAG